UUAAGCGACUAAGCGUACACGGUGGAUGCCCUGGCAGUCAGAGGCGAUGAAGGACGUGCUAAUCUGCGAAAAGCGUCGGUAAGGUGAUAUGAACCGUUAUAGCCGGCGAUGUCCGAAUGGGGAAACCCAGUGUGAUUCGUCACACUAUCGUUAACUGAAUACAUAGGUUAACGAGGCGAACCGGGGGAACUGAAACAUCUAAGUACCCCGAGGAAAAGAAAUCAACCGAGAUUCCCCCAGUAGCGGCGAGCGAACGGGGAGCAGCCCAGAGUCUGAAUCAGCUUGUGUGUUAGUGGAACGGUCUGGAAAGUCCGACGGUACAGGGUGAUAGUCCCGUACACCAAAAUGCACAGGUUGUGAACUCGAAGAGUAGGGCGGGACACGUGGUAUCCUGUCUGAAUAUGGGGGGACCAUCCUCCAAGGCUAAAUACUCCUGACUGACCGAUAGUGAACCAGUACCGUGAGGGAAAGGCGAAAAGAACCCCGGCGAGGGGAGUGAAAAAGAACCUGAAACCGUGUACGUACAAGCAGUGGGAGCACCUUCGGGUGUGACUGCGUACCUUUUGUAUAAUGGGUCAGCGACUUAUAUUCUGUAGCAAGGUUAACCGUAUAGGGGAGCCGCAGGGAAACCGAGUCUUAACUGGGCGUUAAGUUGCAGGGUAUAGACCCGAAACCCGGUGAUCUAGCCAUGGGCAGGUUGAAGGUUGGGUAACACUAACUGGAGGACCGAACCGACUAAUGUUGAAAAAUUAGCGGAUGACUUGUGGCUGGGGGUGAAAGGCCAAUCAAACCGGGAGAUAGCUGGUUCUCCCCGAAAGCUAUUUAGGUAGCGCCUCGUGAACUCAUCUUCGGGGGUAGAGCACUGUUUCGGCUAGGGGGUCAUCCCGACUUACCAACCCGAUGCAAACUACGAAUACCGAAGAAUGUUAUCACGGGAGACACACGGCGGGUGCUAACGUCCGUCGUGAAGAGGGAAACAACCCAGACCGCCAGCUAAGGUCCCAAAGUCAUGGUUAAGUGGGAAACGAUGUGGGAAGGCACAGACAGCCAGGAUGUUGGCUUAGAAGCAGCCAUCAUUUAAAGAAAGCGUAAUAGCUCACUGGUCGAGUCGGCCUGCGCGGAAGAUGUAACGGGGCUAAACCAUGCACCGAAGCUGCGGCAGCGACACUAUGUGUUGUUGGGUAGGGGAGCGUUCUGUAAGCCUGCGAAGGUGACCUGUGAGGGUUGCUGGAGGUAUCAGAAGUGCGAAUGCUGACAUAAGUAACGAUAAAGCGGGUGAAAAGCCCGCUCGCCGGAAGACCAAGGGUUCCUGUCCAACGUUAAUCGGGGCAGGGUGAGUCGACCCCUAAGGCGAGGCCGAAAGGCGUAGUCGAUGGGAAACAGGUUAAUAUUCCUGUACUUGGUGUUACUGCGAAGGGGGGACGGAGAAGGCUAUGUUAGCCGGGCGACGGUUGUCCCGGUUUAAGCAUGUAGGCUGGUUGUCCAGGCAAAUCCGGAUAAUCAAGGCUGAGGUGUGAUGACGAGGCACUACGGUGCUGAAGUAACAAAUGCCCUGCUUCCAGGAAAAGCCUCUAAGCAUCAGGUAACAUUAAAUCGUACCCCAAACCGACACAGGUGGUCAGGUAGAGAAUACCAAGGCGCUUGAGAGAACUCGGGUGAAGGAACUAGGCAAAAUGGUGCCGUAACUUCGGGAGAAGGCACGCUGGUGUGUAGGUGAAGUCCCUGCGGAUGGAGCUGAGACCAGUCGAAGAUACCAGCUGGCUGCAACUGUUUAUUAAAAACACAGCACUGUGCAAACACGAAAGUGGACGUAUACGGUGUGACGCCUGCCCGGUGCCGGAAGGUUAAUUGAUGGGGUUAUCCGUAAGGAGAAGCUCUUGAUCGAAGCCCCGGUAAACGGCGGCCGUAACUAUAACGGUCCUAAGGUAGCGAAAUUCCUUGUCGGGUAAGUUCCGACCUGCACGAAUGGCGUAAUGAUGGCCAGGCUGUCUCCACCCGAGACUCAGUGAAAUUGAACUCGCUGUGAAGAUGCAGUGUACCCGCGGCAAGACGGAAAGACCCCGUGAACCUUUACUAUAGCUUGACACUGAACAUUGAGCCUUGAUGUGUAGGAUAGGUGGGAGGCUUUGAAGCGUGGACGCCAGUCUGCGUGGAGCCAACCUUGAAAUACCACCCUUUAAUGUUUGAUGUUCUAACGUUGGCCCCUUACCGGGGUUGCGGACAGUGUCUGGUGGGUAGUUUGACUGGGGCGGUCUCCUCCCAAAGCGUAACGGAGGAGCACGAAGGUUAGCUAAUCCUGGUCGGACAUCAGGAGGUUAGUGCAAUGGCAUAAGCUAGCUUGACUGCGAGCGUGACGGCGCGAGCAGGUGCGAAAGCAGGUCAUAGUGAUCCGGUGGUUCUGAAUGGAAGGGCCAUCGCUCAACGGAUAAAAGGUACUCCGGGGAUAACAGGCUGAUACCGCCCAAGAGUUCAUAUCGACGGCGGUGUUUGGCACCUCGAUGUCGGCUCAUCACAUCCUGGGGCUGAAGUAGGUCCCAAGGGUAUGGCUGUUCGCCAUUUAAAGUGGUACGCGAGCUGGGUUUAGAACGUCGUGAGACAGUUCGGUCCCUAUCUGCCGUGGGCGCUGGAGAAUUGAGGGGGGCUGCUCCUAGUACGAGAGGACCGGAGUGGACGCAUCACUGGUGUUCGGGUUGUCAUGCCAAUGGCACUGCCCGGUAGCUAAAUGCGGAAGAGAUAAGUGCUGAAAGCAUCUAAGCACGAAACUUGCCCCGAGAUGAGUUCUCCCUGAGACUUUAAGUCUCCUGAAGGAACGUUAAAGACGAUGACGUUGAUAGGCCGGGUGUGUAAGCGCAGCGAUGCGUUGAGCUAACCGGUACUAAUGAACCGUGAGGCUUAACCUU
Molecule: ribosomal RNA, 2900 nt
Filed under: Klebsiella pneumoniae
Lineage: Bacteria; Pseudomonadati; Pseudomonadota; Gammaproteobacteria; Enterobacterales; Enterobacteriaceae
Description: 23S ribosomal RNA
Rfam family: Bacterial large subunit ribosomal RNA
Source: RNAcentral